AUAGCAUAGGCGCCCACUAAACUGCUGAAUUUAAAUUAAAACUGCAAUGAACUUAUAAAAUUAACAAAAAUAAUCACAAAUUAGCGAAAUAUAUUGCAAAUGUAGCUUAUAUUAAAUCGCCACCCGACUGCUCUCUCCUCCGCAGAGAUUUCAGUGACUACAAUGAGCUUUACAUGGCGCUUGCCGUAUUUAUCAACAAACAGUGACGUAUAAUUAUAAAGUAUAUAUAUAUAUUAAGUAUACUUUAUAACUAUACGUCAGUCGAUAGUGCAAUCUGAUGGCGAUUUAAUAUAAGCUACAUUUGCAAUAUAUUUCGCUAAUUUGCGAUUAUUUUCUAAUUUUACUGCAGUUUUAAUUUAAAUUCAGCCGUUUAGUUGGCCGGCUAUAAUUGUAGUUGUGAUCAUUAUAAAAUAUAUCAACAACAAUAGUAUAAUCUAAUUAGCACCAGCCAAUCAAUUGACAGAUUUAAAAAUCGUUUGUCUAAUCGGCCAAUCAGCGCUCAGUCCAGAUUCUGGACUGAACAACCAGGCAAAAUGCCACUUUUGUGUCAGGCCGUACUUUUCUCCCCUUCGCCCACGAUCAGGCGUGCCUGUGCCCUAAAA
This is a non-coding RNA of Paramuricea clavata, 602 nucleotides long. The record is from the annotation of a GenBank genome assembly. Lineage: Eukaryota; Metazoa; Cnidaria; Anthozoa; Malacalcyonacea; Plexauridae.